AUGGCGGGUAAAACGAUUGAGAUAGGAC
Molecule: small RNA, 28 nt
Filed under: Bombyx mori (domestic silkworm)
Lineage: Eukaryota; Metazoa; Arthropoda; Insecta; Lepidoptera; Bombycidae
Description: ovarian small RNA-12628
Source: RNAcentral